GUCCACGCCCUAAACUAUGUCAACUGGUUGUCGGGGGAUUAACUCCCUUGGUAACGAAGCUAACGCGUGAAGUUGACCGCCUGGGGAGUACGGCCGCAAGGUUAAAACUCAAAGGAAUUGACGGGGACCCGCACAAGCGGUGGAUUAUGUGGAUUAAUUCGAUGCAACGCGAAAAACCUUACCUACCCUUGACAUGUACGGAAUCUCCCAGAGAUGGGAGGGUGCCCCGAAAGGGAACCGUAACACAGGUGCUGCAUGGCUGUCGU
RNAcentral lists this ribosomal RNA (266 nucleotides) under uncultured bacterium. RNAcentral's name for it is "partial 16S ribosomal RNA". It matches the Rfam family "Bacterial small subunit ribosomal RNA", at positions 793 to 1055 of the family's 1533-position model. The record is from RNAcentral.